Molecule: long non-coding RNA, 826 nt
Organism: Oreochromis niloticus (Nile tilapia)
Lineage: Eukaryota; Metazoa; Chordata; Actinopteri; Cichliformes; Cichlidae
Exons: 5
Source: RefSeq, a predicted model, not a curated record
CUGUUAGAUUGUUUGUGUUCCUUGCUUGUUGUCGUCGUCGUCGUCCCACAUCUUGGCAAAGCCGGGUCCAUGGCUGCUGGAUAACUGUGAUGAGCUCCUGAACGAUGAUGGUGGCAGGUUGGAUACUAGCGGACUGUGACACACCUCUGAGAAUCACAGGACACAGAGAACACAUAAUUUAAAACAAUAGCUGUGUAGUGUUCUUGCCAUCUGACAAAACACAUCCAUUUAACAUAAUGGCCAGCGGUGGAGUGGAUCAGUGAUGUCAGACUCAGCAGCAUCUUUGAACUUUCCCAGUGGCUCCAAGAUUCUGCUCUGAAAGAUCCACAUCAGCAUCUGUGCACUUCAUCUCCAAACGAAAGCACCUGUUUCUGGCAGCUGAUAAAGGGGAACAACUUAAAGAGAAUGCAUAAUUAUAAAAAUCUACUAAUGUCUCCUUGAUACUUGAAAGGACUUCCACAAUUGUCUACAGUCAGCUGUAUACAAAUGAAUCUUUUGAAGUUGGAUUGCUGAUUUAAAACGAUACAUGAUCGGUUCCUGUUCCUAUGACAAUUGAUGUUUUGCAGUAUAUUUUUAGUUUUGCACCCCACCCCUUCCUGAAUGAAAGUGCCAUCUAGUCUAUCUUUUCAAUUAACAACUGAGAGAGGUGAAGCUGAUAGCUGCAUUUUUCAUCCCUUUUCAAUGUAUAUGAAAAAGACACUUAUAGUCUGGACUUGAAGGUGCAAACAGAUCUUCCCUCUGUGAAACACCGAAAAUUAAAACCUUAUACAUGUUUAGGCAUACCAGGGUGUUUGUGCCAUUGCCUACAUUAUGUAACACUGUAAAA